RNAcentral lists this non-coding RNA (21 nucleotides) under Caenorhabditis elegans. The record is from RNAcentral. Lineage: Eukaryota; Metazoa; Nematoda; Chromadorea; Rhabditida; Rhabditidae.
UAAAUGCCACAAACUAUUCAC